AGAGUUUGAUCAUGGCUCAGAUUGAACGCUGGCGGCAUGCCUAACACAUGCAAGUCGAACGGAAACGAUGCUAGCUUGCUAGCAGGCGUCGAGUGGCGGACGGGUGAGUAAUAUAUAGGGAUCUGCCUAAUAGUGGGGGACAACGUGUGGAAACGCACGCUAAUACCGCAUACGCUCUACGGAGGAAAGUGGGGGAUCUUCGGACCUCAUGCUAUUAGAUGAACCUAUAUCGGAUUAGCUUGUUGGUGAGGUAAUGGCUCACCAAGGCGACGAUCCGUAGCUGGUUUGAGAGAAUGAUCAGCCACACUGGGACUGAGACACGGCCCAGACUCCUACGGGAGGCAGCAGUGGGGAAUAUUGCACAAUGGACGAAAGUCUGAUGCAGCAAUGCCGCGUGUGUGAAGAAGGCCUUCGGGUUGUAAAGCACUUUCAGAUGUGAGGAAAAGCAGUCUAUUAAUACUAGACUGCCGUGACGUUAACAUCAGAAGAAGGACCGGCUAACUCCGUGCCAGCAGCCGCGGUAAUACGGAGGGUCCAAGCGUUAAUCGGAAUUACUGGGCGUAAAGCGCGCGUAGGCGGAUAAUUAAGUCAGAUGUGAAAUCCCUGGGCUCAACCUAGGAACUGCAUUUGAUACUGGUUAUCUAGAGUAUGGUAGAGGUGAGUGGAAUUUCAGGUGUAGCGGUGAAAUGCGUAGAGAUCUGAAGGGACAUCAGUGGCGAAAGGCGACUCACUGCGGCCAUUACUGACGCUGAAGUGCGAAAGCGCGCUAGCAAAAGGAUUAGAUACCCUGAUAGCCCACGCCCCAAACGAUGUCUCUAGGUGUGUGAGAGCCUACUCCUGCGCAUCGAACUAGA
RNAcentral lists this ribosomal RNA (854 nucleotides) under uncultured Piscirickettsiaceae bacterium. RNAcentral's name for it is "bacterial SSU rRNA". It matches the Rfam family "Bacterial small subunit ribosomal RNA", at positions 8 to 855 of the family's 1533-position model. Lineage: Bacteria; Pseudomonadati; Pseudomonadota; Gammaproteobacteria; Thiotrichales; Piscirickettsiaceae. The record is from RNAcentral.